GACGAACGCUGGCGGCGUGCUUAACACAUGCAAGUCGAACGAUGAACCCGGGGCUUGCUCCGGUGGAUUAGUGGCGAACGGGUGAGUAACACGUGAGUAACCUGCCCUUGACUCUGGGAUAACUGCGGGAAACUGUAGCUAAUACCGGAUACGACCCUCGGCGGCAUCGCCAGGGGGUGGAAAGAAUUUCGGUCAAGGAUGGACUAGCGGCCUAUCAGCUAGUUGGUGAGGUAACGGCUCACCAAGGCGACGACGGGUAGCCGGCCUGAGAGGGUGACCGGCCACACUGGGACUGAGACACGGCCCAGACUCCUACGGGAGGCAGCAGUGGGGAAUAUUGCACAAUGGGCGCAAGCCUGAUGCAGCAACGCCGCGUGAGGGAUGACGGCCUUCGGGUUGUAAACCUCUUUUAGUAGGGAAGAAGCGAAAGUGACGGUACCUGCAGAAAAAGCACCGGCUAACUACGUGCCAGCAGCCGCCGUAA
This 484-nucleotide ribosomal RNA is filed under the name uncultured bacterium. RNAcentral describes it as "partial 16S ribosomal RNA". It matches the Rfam family "Bacterial small subunit ribosomal RNA", at positions 28 to 523 of the family's 1533-position model. The record is from RNAcentral.